Molecule: long non-coding RNA, 314 nt
Organism: Anarrhichthys ocellatus (wolf-eel)
Lineage: Eukaryota; Metazoa; Chordata; Actinopteri; Perciformes; Anarhichadidae
Exons: 3
Source: RefSeq, a predicted model, not a curated record
AACUGCCAUACCAUCCUCAUGGUAUGGCAGUAGAUUAUCUAAAUACUUGUAGUAAUGUAAACAGGAUAAUCCGAGACAAAACAGUUUCCACAGACUGACCAUGACUGAGUACAAGCUAGAGGUCACAACAGGUGACAGGCAAAAUGCAGGAACAUGGGACCACAUAUUCAUCACCUUAUUUGGAACUGAAGGGCAGAGUGAGCGAACUGAGUUGGACAACUUUGGCAUCGACUUUACAACUGGGACAACAGGGAAUUACACCAUGAACACCAAUUUGUCUCUGGGGAAACUUCUGCUGGUCAAGGUGGAGAAAG